AACUAUAACGGUCCUAAGGUAGCGAAAUUCCUUGUCAGGUAAGUUCUGACCCGCAUGAAAGGCGUAAUGAUUUGGGCACUGUCUCAACAGCCCGCCCGGCGAAAUUGUAGUACCGGUGAAGAUGCCGGUUACCCGCGACAAGACGGAAAGACCCCAUGGAGCUUUACUGUAGCCUAAUAUUGGGUUUCGAUGUUGCAUGCACAGGAUAGAUGGGACACUGGGAAGCACGGGCUUUGGCUUGUGUGGAGUGGCCGUUGGGAUACCAUCCUUGCGAUAUUGGAAUUCUAACCUGCGCCUUUGAAUCAAGGCGGGGGACAUUGUUAGGUGGGCAGUUUGACUGGGGCGGUCGCCUCCUAAAAAGUAACGGAGGCGUUCAAAGGUUCGCUCAGCUUGAACGGAAAUCAAGCAAGAGAGUGCAAACGCAGAAGCGAGCCUAACUGCGAGACUGACGGGUCGAGCAGUAACGAAAGUUGGAGUUAGUGAUCCGGUGGUAUGUGAGUGGAAAUGCCAUCGCUCAACGGAUAAAAGUUACCCUGGGGAUAACAGGCUGAUCUCCCCCAAGAGUCCACAUCGACGGGGAGGUUUGGCACCUCGAUGUCGGCUCAUCGCAUCCUGGGGCUGAAGUAGGUCCCAAGGGUUGGGCUGUUCGCCCAUUAAAGCGGUACGCGAGCUGGGUUCAGAACGUCGUGAGACAGUUCGGUCCCUAUCUGUCGUGGGCGCAGGAUAUUUGAUGGGAGCUGUCCCUAGUACGAGAGGACCGGGAUGGACGUACCUCUGGCGCACCAGUUGUUCUGCCAAGGGCAUAGCUGGGCAACUAUGUACGGAUCGGAUAAACGCUGAAAGCAUCUAAGCGUGAAGCCGACCCAAAGAUAAGAUAUCCCACUGAUUUGAUCAGGUAAGACCCCUUGAAGACUACAAGGUUGAUAGGCAUGACGUGUAAGUGGAGUGAUCCAUUCAGCGAGCAUGUACUAAUAGGUCGAGGGCUUGACCAC
RNAcentral lists this ribosomal RNA (992 nucleotides) under human gut metagenome. RNAcentral's name for it is "bacterial LSU rRNA". It matches the Rfam family "Bacterial large subunit ribosomal RNA", at positions 1938 to 2925 of the family's 2925-position model. The record is from RNAcentral.